AGCAGCCGCGGUAAUUCCAGCUCCAAUAGCGUAUAUUAAAGUUGUUGCAGUUAAAAAGCUCGUAGUUGAACUUCGGGACCAGUGGGUUGGUCGUGCCUCUGGUACGUACUGGCCUUACCGGUUCCUCCCUUCUGACGAACCACGAUGCCAUUAAUUUGGUGUUGUGGGGAAUCAGGACUGUUACUUUGAAAAAAUUAGAGUGUUUAAAGCAGGCUAAAGCUUGAAUAGAUUAGCAUGGAAUAAUGAAAUAGGACGUUUGAUCUUAUUUUGUUGGUUUCUAAGAUCGACGUAAUGAUUAAUAGGGAUAGUUGGGGAAUCUGUCCUUGAAUACAUUAGCAUGGAAUAAUGAAAUAGGACAUCCGAUUCUAUUUUGUUGGUUUCUAGGAUCGAUGUA
RNAcentral lists this ribosomal RNA (394 nucleotides) under Glomus sp. Its description in RNAcentral is "SSU rRNA". It matches the Rfam family "Eukaryotic small subunit ribosomal RNA", at positions 569 to 939 of the family's 1831-position model. The record is from RNAcentral. Lineage: Eukaryota; Fungi; Glomeromycota; Glomeromycetes; Glomerales; Glomeraceae.